Molecule: unclassified non-coding RNA, 474 nt
Filed under: Hevea brasiliensis (rubber tree)
Lineage: Eukaryota; Viridiplantae; Streptophyta; Magnoliopsida; Malpighiales; Euphorbiaceae
Source: RNAcentral
AAGGCAAGUUGCUGUGUGGUUUCAAAACCGCCGAGCUAGAUGGAAGACAAAGCAGCUUGAAAGGGACUAUGAUCUUCUCAAAUCUUCAUAUGAUUCCUUUCGUUCAAGCUACGACUUUAUUGCUAAGGAGAAUGAAAGGCUCAAAGCCGAGGUAGCUUCUUUAACUGAGAAACUUCAAGCUAAAGAAGUGGUUGAAUCAUCGUUUCAAGCUAAGAAUCCCGAGCCAUUUCUGGAGGAUCAACUCCUUGUUCCUGUUGUGCAACAUGGCAUUAAGAUUGAAGACCACCAUAGUUGCAGGAGCAACGGAAGCGCUGUGCUGGACGAGGACGGUCCUCAACUCUUAGACAGUGGGGAUUCGUACCUCUUGAGCAAUGACUAUGAUGGUUGUGUUUUGCCAGUUUUUGUGGGCGGCCCUGGCCAUCGUCACUCCCAUCUUCCUCCUCCGAGUUCACUCCAAAAACUGGCAAAACACAA